UUUAUGGAGAGUUUGAUCCUGGCUCAGGAUGAACGCUGGCGGCGUGCCUAAUACAUGCAAGUCGAGCGAACGGACGAGAAGCUUGCUUCUCUGAUGUUAGCGGCGGACGGGUGAGUAACACGUGGAUAACCUACCUAUAAGACUGGGAUAACUUCGGGAAACCGGAGCUAAUACCGGAUAAUAUUUUGAACCGCAUGGUUCAAAAGUGAAAGACGGUCUUGCUGUCACUUAUAGAUGGAUCCGCGCUGCAUUAGCUAGUUGGUAAGGUAACGGCUUACCAAGGCAACGAUGCAUAGCCGACCUGAGAGGGUGAUCGGCCACACUGGAACUGAGACACGGUCCAGACUCCUACGGGAGGCAGCAGUAGGGAAUCUUCCGCAAUGGGCGAAAGCCUGACGGAGCAACGCCGCGUGAGUGAUGAAGGUCUUCGGAUCGUAAAACUCUGUUAUUAGGGAAGAACAUAUGUGUAAGUAACUGUGCACAUCUUGACGGUACCUAAUCAGAAAGCCACGGCUAACUACGUGCCAGCAGCCGCGGUAAUACGUAGGUGGCAAGCGUUAUCCGGAAUUAUUGGGCGUAAAGCGCGCGUAGGCGGUUUUUUAAGUCUGAUGUGAAAGCCCACGGCUCAACCGUGGAGGGUCAUUGGAAACUGGAAAACUUGAGUGCAGAAGAGGAAAGUGGAAUUCCAUGUGUAGCGGUGAAAUGCGCAGAGAUAUGGAGGAACACCAGUGGCGAAGGCGACUUUCUGGUCUGUAACUGACGCUGAUGUGCGAAAGCGUGGGGAUCAAACAGGAUUAGAUACCCUGGUAGUCCACGCCGUAAACGAUGAGUGCUAAGUGUUAGGGGGUUUCCGCCCCUUAGUGCUGCAGCUAACGCAUUAAGCACUCCGCCUGGGGAGUACGACCGCAAGGUUGAAACUCAAAGGAAUUGACGGGGACCCGCACAAGCGGUGGAGCAUGUGGUUUAAUUCGAAGCAACGCGAAGAACCUUACCAAAUCUUGACAUCCUUUGACAACUCUAGAGAUAGAGCUUUCCCCUUCGGGGGACAAAGUGACAGGUGGUGCAUGGUUGUCGUCAGCUCGUGUCGUGAGAUGUUGGGUUAAGUCCCGCAACGAGCGCAACCCUUAAGCUUAGUUGCCAUCA
RNAcentral lists this ribosomal RNA (1143 nucleotides) under Staphylococcus aureus. RNAcentral's name for it is "bacterial SSU rRNA". It matches the Rfam family "Bacterial small subunit ribosomal RNA", at positions 1 to 1123 of the family's 1533-position model. The record is from RNAcentral. Lineage: Bacteria; Bacillati; Bacillota; Bacilli; Caryophanales; Staphylococcaceae.